CUCACCUUCAAGUUAUUUCCCUCCUCUAGAAUGCUGUACUUCCACCACCGCCAAAUCGUGAACUUUCUCUCCUUCAAUAUCCCACUGAGAACUCACCCCCAGGAUGGGACUCUGCUCACCCUGUCCUCUACUCAAGCAGAAGCCUCUCAGCGAUCAUAGGGCAAGGCCUGAACACAAGCUUCUGUUGGUGUAAAGUGGAGGCACAGGCUGCAGGACUGUCUCAGAAGGGAAAUAAUAUUUACCUUCCAAGCUGAGAUCUAAAACCCCAACAAAGCCUCAGGAAACAUACUCCACCACCAUCUUACAAGUUUGUGCUACGGGUGGAGGGAAAAUGAAUCUAAUGUAGGAGGCCUCCCGCUGUGGGUCUAGCAGGAAAGACUACACGGUGCAAGUCUCCAGGAUCACUAGAGGGGUGGAUUGUUCAUUUCAGUCCAGGUAGCAACAGGAAGCCCGUGCAAAUGUUCCUCUCUCACUGCGGGGAUAAAGAGUGUGGGUCUGUUGCCGCGACUACCUGCUUGCCUCUUUCAGAACCUGCAUGUGAAGUGCGGAAGAUCUGUCUAUCUUCUCGGCGGCGCGGAGCCCAAGGUAGAAACCGAUGGAGGCGGUGCACUAGAUAACAUCAAAGCCCCGGGCAGGGGCCAGAAAGGGGGGCACAGGCAGCCCGGGGAAUGAAGCGCCUCCCUCUAGCAUUUCCUCUCACGCCCACUUCCAACCUAGGAGGCUUUUGGUUUCUGCUUUUGUUGUUUUUAAAAUUAAAAGUUAAACCCAGGAAGCUUUGGAUCAGA
Molecule: long non-coding RNA, 785 nt
Filed under: Pongo abelii (Sumatran orangutan)
Lineage: Eukaryota; Metazoa; Chordata; Mammalia; Primates; Hominidae
Description: lincRNA
Source: RNAcentral